Molecule: long non-coding RNA, 2930 nt
Organism: Vespa velutina
Lineage: Eukaryota; Metazoa; Arthropoda; Insecta; Hymenoptera; Vespidae
Exons: 5
Source: RefSeq, a predicted model, not a curated record
CAUACGCAUAUACAUAUAUCGUAACUACACCUACAUCUUUCGCGAGACGAAUUUGUUCCAGUCGAAACGGCUUUGACUUUCGACGCGUCAACGAAAGAUAAACUCAAGUAUGCUUUUCCUUUCGUAGGGAAAAAACUCGUAAAAAAGCUGCAGGGUUAGCGAUAAGAAGUCGACGAUUGAGUUUGAUAGUAAGGAAAGGGGGAAGAAGAAUAUUUGCUUGCUUCCUUGCUUGCCUUUGCUCUAUGCGAGACUCGAGGCUAUUGUUUGCGUUCCGUGCGAUUACUUUUAAUAAAUUCGACGACCGGGAGGUCUGCGUCCGAUCUAUGGAGAACGAAAGGAAAUACAGAUAGAAGAAAGAGAAAGAGAAAAAGAAAGAGAAGAAAUAGCUUUUGCUUUGUUAUACAUUUUCUGUUCACCCUCUCUCUCUCUCUCUCUCUCUCUCUCAUUCUCUCUCUCUCCUUCUCUUCGUUCCUCUUUACUUUACGCCCUCUCCCUCUCCUAGUUUUUCGAUCGUGUUUCCAAUUUAUUCCAACGAUAGGACGUGUAUCAUCGUCUCUUCCGCGCAAAUUUCCAUUCUAGUAUCAUCGGAUCUUGCCGUGUAUAUGACAGAAAAAAAAAAGAAGAAAAAAAAAAAGAAAACAAGAAAAACAAAACAAACAAAAAAAUUUAAAGUAAUACCUCUCGAUGGCACUCGGAAACUAGUAGUACGAUAAUGACGAGAAAGCUCGUCAUGCUGGGACGGCUUCGGGUUCUCUACUUUGCUCGAUGCGAUUGGUAAAUAGUGACUUUCAAGCCGGUUGCGCAGUCCUGUGAUGUUUGCGACGGGAACGCUAACAAUAAGACAAACUCUAACUUGAAAUUACGUUGAGUACGGGAAAGGAAAGUAGAGAGAGAGAGAGAGAGAGAGAGAGAGAGAGAGAGAGAGAGAGAGAGAGAGAGAGAGAGAGAAAUCAAACCGAAGUGACCAAGUGAUCUCACUGGAUUCGAAUGUAAUGACUAAUCUACUAACAAUGAUAACAAUAAUAUUUUUCUUUAUGACAUCGAUCGAUCGAUCGAUUGAUCCGAGCAGAUCGAACCUAAGCAUGGAUUAUAAUCCAUGAAUUAUUAUGUUUCAGUUUAACGUUAGUACGAGCUAACGAGGAAGCGUCGAGAGAAGAGAAAGGAAGCAGAAGAAGAAGAAGAAGUAAAAGAAGAAAAAUAAGAAGAGGAAGAACAACAGAAUAACGACGAAGGCAACAACGAUGAUUAUGACGAUGACGAUGAUGAUGAUGAUGAUGAUGAUGAUGAUGAUGAUGAUAAAGAUCAAGAAACAUGACGUUGCUUAGAAAGAAACGAUUCUCAAACGGUGCACGAAUGAGAAUAAAAAAAAAAAAAAAAAAAACAAACAAAGAGAGAGAGAGAGAUGGAGAGAGAAAGGGAAAUAGAAAAUAAAUAAAGAUAAAGAAAAAAAAAAAAACAAGUCCAACUUUGAUUGGAGAUAGAAAAUCGUAAGAGUUUCCAAACGUCAAAACGCCGCCGAUGCGUUCCUAUCGUCACCGAUGCACCAACAAAGGCAUGCUCCGUUGCGAAACGUCGAUGGAAUAUCAUACGCGUUGGCACGAGUGUACAUUAGAGUGUAUAUAUACACAGAGUGAAAAGAGGGAGAAGGAGAGAGAGAGAGAGAGAAAGAGAGAGCACACAUUGCUACGUUAUAUUCGUCGUCAUACGCAAGACGAAAACGGAGCCCCUUUCGAUCGUGUGCUACGUGAUUUCAAUAUCAAGGAGAGGCGUUCGAGAGCGAAAACGACUCGCUAUAAGGGGGUCGUUGAGCAGGCUUCCCCAAGUGAAUGCUCGAGCGGUAGAAAAGAAGGAACGACAAACUCGAAUGCUGGAGUAUUCGGAAUGGGCAUGCCUCACCUGGCCUUAUGCCCAACGAGCGGGCAAAUGAAGAAGGUGGCGUGAGACGAGAAGGGCUCUCCAGAGAAACAGGGAGAGAGACAGAGAGAGAAGAGAGGAGAGAGAGAGAGAGAGAGAGAGAGAAAGAGAGAGAGAGAGAGAGAGAGAAGGGACGUAGGUUUGCGAGCAAAAAAGGAAAGAUCCGAGUUAGGGACGAAUCAGCCUCCCGGAGAAUUGCCAGAAAGAACUUACACCCUCCUCCCCCUUUCCUCCCCUUCGCACUUACACGAGUUUACUUGUGAGAGUUGAACACGUAUGUCUAUAGGGUUUAGAAAAGCCUGCUUUCUAAAGAUUUCUGCCUGCGCCAGAAAAUUAAUGUCCCUUCUUUCUUUCUUUCUUUCUUUCUUUCUUUCUUUCUUUCUUUUUGUUUAUUUUCUUUUUUUCUUUAUUUUUUUUUUUUUCUUUUUACACAAUUCUUUUUCGUUUACUUCCGCCAAACGAAACGAUCGUGGACCGUGAGCAUUAUUCAGCGAACGAAUGUACAUAUUUUUUUAGUGAGAGCUUUCGAAAACUAAAACGAUGAAGAACAUGAAACAAAAAAAAAAAAAAAAAACAAAAAAAAGAAAGAAAAAGAAAAAAGAAAAGAAAAAAAACGAAAAGAAAGAAUAGAGAAUAUGUGUGUCCGUUCGAAGAGUGUCAGACAGCUGCAAAAAAGGGAAAAAGAAGGAGAGAAGAAAUAAAAAAAAAAGAAAAAAAAAAAAAAAAGAGAGAAAAAACAGCGAGAAGAAAUAUCAACGAGAGUUGAAAGAUAUUCAACGAUUCGCAGAGCAGCUUAGGAUGGAGAUAUUAACAAGAGUCACUCCACGUAUAUUCUCUACUUUUUUUUCUCCUAGCAAAUCUUUUUUAACGGCGAAAACCGUCAAGUAGUCCAAGUAAAAGGCAAGAAAAAUUCGGUCGACCACCGACAUGCUCUAUGUUUCUCUCUCUCUCUCUCUCUUUCUGUCCUGUUAGACUUAUCGUUCUGCAGGGAGAAUGGUCGUUGGCGGGUUUCGAGA